GGGCCCGCACAAGCGGAGGAACAUGUGGUUUAAUUCGAUGAUACGCGAGGAACCUUACCCGGGCUUGAAAUGCAGAGGGAUGUGGUGGAAACAUUGCAGUUCGCAAGAACCUCUGUGUAGGUGCUGCAUGGUUGUCGUCAGCUCGUGCCGUGAGGUGUCGGCUUAAGUGCCAUAACGAGCGCAACCCCUACCGGUAGUUACCAUCAGGUGAAGCUGGGGACUCUACCGGGACUGCCGCCGUAAGGUGCGAGGAAGGCGGGGAUGACGUCAAAUCAGCACGGCCCUUACGUCCGGGGCGACACACGUGUUACAAUGGGGGGUACAAAGGGCCGCUACCUGGCGACAGGAUGCCAAUCUCCAAAACCCCUCUCAGUUCGGAUCGGAGUCUGCAACCCGACUCCGUGAAGCUGGAUUCGCUAGUAAUCGCGCAUCAGCCAUGGUG
This 442-nucleotide ribosomal RNA is filed under the name uncultured Bacteroidota bacterium. RNAcentral's name for it is "bacterial SSU rRNA". It matches the Rfam family "Bacterial small subunit ribosomal RNA", at positions 917 to 1359 of the family's 1533-position model. Lineage: Bacteria; Pseudomonadati; Bacteroidota. The record is from RNAcentral.